UGCCUCUGUAUUCAAAUGAGUUGAAUUGUUCGGGUUUUCAAGCAUGCUAUGUGAGUUACUGAUACUUGAUGAAUUUACAUAUAAUAUAUGUAAUAUGUAAUCCUUAAUAGCAAAAGUAAAAAGAAAAGAAAAAGAAAAAAGUGAAAUGAAGCUUUUAUGGUCCGUAGUGUAUCUGUAUUGACAUGCAUAUUGCAUCAAGUGUCUCAUUAGGUUUUUUAUCUUUGAGGGAUAUUUGUUCCCUUUGCCCUUCGAGGUAUCUAUUUUUUCCUCCUCUAUCUGGUCUAGAAAGACGUAAGAGGACCGCUCCUAGUGGAUGACGACAUGCCCUC
This 329-nucleotide long non-coding RNA is filed under the name Carica papaya (papaya). RNAcentral describes it as "long non-coding RNA (CPAP_LNC005238)". Lineage: Eukaryota; Viridiplantae; Streptophyta; Magnoliopsida; Brassicales; Caricaceae. The record is from RNAcentral.